This is a non-coding RNA of Hemibagrus wyckioides, 481 nucleotides long. The record is from the annotation of a RefSeq genome assembly. Lineage: Eukaryota; Metazoa; Chordata; Actinopteri; Siluriformes; Bagridae.
UCAAAAGGCAGGUGGAGUCAGUGAUAUUUUAUCAUUUCACAAACAAUUAGUUAAAAAUAUGACUGUAGACUGGAAAGACUGGAGAACACUUGACACGAUGGCUAAAAUUAUAGUCUCAAGUAUCAUUCUUAUCUGUCUUAAAGCCACAGUUAUCUCGUCCCUCAUCGUCCAGCAAUUACCACAACAUCUACUAAUAAAACCUGAGGAGAGUCAAGCAAAGCUCAGCUGCCGGCAUGGUGAUAGCAGCUAUCCCUACAUGUACUGGUAUCAACAAAAAACAGUCAGUGACUCCAUUGAGCUCAUUGGAAUGCUCCUGAACAAAAACCCCACUCCUGAGGAGAAGUUUAAAACCCGAUUCAACAUUUCAGGACACGCUACAGGGGAUGCAUAUCUGUUCAUAUCCAGUCUAACUCCUGAGGACAGUGCAGUAUAUUUCUGUGCUGCUAGUAAGCACAGCCACACACUUUCCCUUUCUGUUUAA